CACCGCCCGUCACACCAUGGGAGUGGGUUGCUCCAGAAGUAGCUAGUCUAACCGCAAGGAGGACGGUUACCACGGAGUGAUUCAUGACUGGGGUGAAGUCGUAACAAGGUAGCCGUAGGGGAACCUGCGGAUU
RNAcentral lists this non-coding RNA (133 nucleotides) under Oryza sativa Indica Group (long-grained rice). RNAcentral describes it as "rRNA SSU_rRNA_eukarya". It matches the Rfam family "Bacterial small subunit ribosomal RNA", at positions 1388 to 1520 of the family's 1533-position model. The record is from Rfam by way of RNAcentral. Lineage: Eukaryota; Viridiplantae; Streptophyta; Magnoliopsida; Poales; Poaceae.